UGGACAGAUUAUUGUAUUCGACUGUAUUCAUGGCGUGAAACAGGGGAUUACACUGUUUUUAAACGGAAAUUGAAUCAAUUAACAUAAUAGACUCCU
This 96-nucleotide microRNA precursor is filed under the name Nicotiana sylvestris (wood tobacco). Its description in RNAcentral is "MIR6152 microRNA precursor family". It matches the Rfam family "MIR6152 microRNA precursor family". RNAcentral also lists the same sequence under 1 other name. The record is from Rfam by way of RNAcentral. Lineage: Eukaryota; Viridiplantae; Streptophyta; Magnoliopsida; Solanales; Solanaceae.